CUUUUUUUUCAAUUAAUCAUACCAUAUAGAGUAAAACUUAGUUAAGCUUAAUUGUAAUUUAUUAUUUGUCUUUUGUGGUUGUACUUAUAAAUCUCUUUUAUUUAUAUUAUUGUUUAUAUUACUGCUAUUCUCCCUCUAAUAGGACUUCCAAGUCUUUAGUUUCAUUUCUAAUGAGGCCUAUAUAAAAUUGUAGUUUUGAAAUCAUUUCUAAUUGCUUUCUCUUCAUUUUGUUUUUAAAUCCAUUUAAAGUUGAGUUUUUGUAUGGGAUAUUGUACUGCUUUGGAACAAGGAUUUUUUGAGACAGUUGCUCUUCAACUACCCUCUUUAAGAUGCCAUCAGGCUGAUUAAAUUCAACAUUCAACAAUGUAAUGAGGAUGAAAUUCAUCAUUUGUCAUCAUUGAGAGGAACUAAACAACUUUAGAUUUUGUACUACAAAUCAAUGGAUACAUACAGAUCCAGAGCAGUACAUUUAUUUUUUUGAUGAAACCACCCUCUUUAAGAUACCAUGAGGCAGAUUAAAUUCAAUAUUCAACAGUGGAUUGCGAAUAAAAGUCAUCUUUGGAAAGGAAACUAAAUAAUUUAGAACCAAGACUUUCCAGAAGGGUAGCCAGAAGAUUUAUUUACCUCAACACAGACAUCAGCAUCUCCAUCAGCCACUUUGGAUUUUAAUAUACAUUUUUAUAUUACUAUUGUUAAUAC
Long non-coding RNA from Sitophilus oryzae (rice weevil), 699 nucleotides. RefSeq lists it as uncharacterized. The record is from RefSeq and is a predicted model, not a curated record. Lineage: Eukaryota; Metazoa; Arthropoda; Insecta; Coleoptera; Curculionidae. The transcript is spliced from 3 exons.